AGAGUUUGAUCCUGGCUCAGAACGUACGCUGGCGGCACGCCUAACACAUGCAAGUCGAACGAAGUAGCAAUACUUAGUGGCAGACGGGUGAGUAACAUGUAGGUAUCUGCCCUUUGGCCUGGAAUAACACGAGGAAACUUGUGCUAAUACCGGAUAAGUCUUUACGGAGAAAGCUUUAUGCACCAUUGGAUGAGCCUGCACUUGAUUAGUUUGUUGGUGGGGUAAUGGCCUACCAAGACUGUGAUCAAUAGCUGAUUUGAGAGGAUGAUCAGCCACAUUGGGACUGAGACACGGCCCAAACUCCUACGGGAGGCAGCAGUGGGGAAUCUUGCACAAUGGAGGAAACUCUGAUGCAGCGAUGCCGCGUGAGUGAAGAAGGCCCUUGGGUUGUAAAGCUCUUUCGUCGGGGAAGAAAAUGACUGUACCCGAAUAAGAAGGUCCGGCUAACUUCGUGCCAGCAGCCGCGGUAAUACGAAGGGACCUAGCGUAGUUCGGAAUUACUGGGCUUAAAGAGUUCGUAGGUGGUUGAAAAAGUUAGUGGUGAAAUCCCAGAGCUUAACUCUGGAACUGCCAUUAAAACUUUUCAGCUAGAGUAUGAUAGAGGAAAGCAGAAUUUCUAGUGUAGAGGUGAAAUUCGUAGAUAUUAGAAAGAAUACCGAUUGCGAAGGCAGCUUUCUGGAUCAUUACUGACACUGAGGAACGAAAGCAUGGGUAGCGAAGAGGAUUAGAUACCCUCGUAGUCCAUGCCGUAAACGAUGUGUGUUAGACGUUGGAAAUUUAUUUUCAGUGUCGCAGCGAAAGCGAUAAACACACCGCCUGGGGAGUACGACCGCAAGGUUAAAACUCAAAUGAAUUGACGGGGACCCGCACAAGUAGUGGAGCAUGUGGUUUAAUUCGAAGAUACGCGCAGAACCUUACCAACACUUGACAUGUUCGUCGCGACUCUAAGAGAUUAGAGUUUUCGGUUCGGCCGGACGAAACACAGGUGCUGCAUGGCUGUCGUCAGCUCGUGUCGUGAGAUGUUGGGUUAAGUCCCGCAACGAGCGCAACCCUCACUUUUAGUUGCCAUCAUUAAGUUGGGCACUCUGAAAGAACUGCCAGUGAUAAGCUGGAGGAAGGUGGGGAUGACGUCAAGUCCUCAUGGCCCUUACGUGUUGGGCUACACACGUGCUACAAUGGUAUCUACAACAGGAAGCAAGACUGCGAAGUUAAGCAAAUCCCUAAAAGAUACCUCAGUUCGGAUUGCACUCUGCAACUCGAGUGCAUGAAGCUGGAAUUACUAGUAAUCGUGGAUCAGCGUGCCACGGUGAAUGCGUUCCCGGGUCUUGUACACACCGCCCGUCACACCAUGGGAGUUGGUUCUACCUUAAGGCAAGGUUUCAAACCCUUGACCACGGUAUAGUCAGCGACUGGGGUGAAGUCGUAACAAGGUAACC
RNAcentral lists this ribosomal RNA (1436 nucleotides) under uncultured Pelagibacterales bacterium. RNAcentral's name for it is "bacterial SSU rRNA". It matches the Rfam family "Bacterial small subunit ribosomal RNA". The record is from RNAcentral. Lineage: Bacteria; Pseudomonadati; Pseudomonadota; Alphaproteobacteria; Candidatus Pelagibacterales.